UGGGGAAUCUUGCACAAUGGGGGAAACCCUGAUGCAGCGACGCCGCGUGAGCGAUGAAGGUUUUCGAAUCGUAAAGCUCUGUCCUAUGGGAAGAUAAUGACGGUACCAUGGGAGGAAGCCCCGGCUAACUGCGUGCCAGCAGCCGCGGUAAUACGUAGGGGGCGAGCGUUGUCCGGAAUUACUGGGCGUAAAGGGUUCGCAGGCGGCAUGGCAAGUCCGAUGUAAAAGGCGAAGGCUCAACCUUCGUAAGCAUCGGAAACUGUCAAGCUUGAGUGAAGGAGAGGCAAGUGGAAUUCCUAGUGUAGCGGUGGAAUGCGUAGAUAUUAGGAGGAAUACCGGUGGCGAAGGCGACUUGCUGGACUUCAACUGACGCUGAGGAACGAAAGCGUGGGUAGCAAACAGG
RNAcentral lists this ribosomal RNA (403 nucleotides) under Fusobacteriota bacterium. Its description in RNAcentral is "Fusobacteria bacterium partial 16S ribosomal RNA". It matches the Rfam family "Bacterial small subunit ribosomal RNA", at positions 355 to 776 of the family's 1533-position model. Lineage: Bacteria; Fusobacteriati; Fusobacteriota. The record is from RNAcentral.